GGGGAUGUAUUUGGUUUUGACGAAAAUGGUUCAAGCCAUUAAAUCGCAAUCCAGGCAUCGCGCUGUCUGCCUGCUAACUCGUCCAGCGCAUUAUAAGUGCUAAUACUUAUAGAUCUUUAGCUGCUUCAGCUAAGCGUCUUGCUAAGACUCCGGUCCCAGCAUUUGCUUACGCUUAAGCAUCUAAUACGGUCACCAAUUCGUGACCUCGUCUCACCUGCCGACACCUGCUGAGCUGGUGAGGCGUUAUUUAGCAGGAUAAGCGUGUCAUACGCCUCCGUAGGAUGACACGACGAAAAAUCAACCCGGAUAAGCUAUGGUUGCUUUUGUUUGUUUUAAUGACCUAGACGAAAAUUUCAAACAAACUAAGAUUGUAGAAGUUUUAUGACUUCAUUUUCGGACCCCGGUUCGACUCCGGGCAUCUCCACCA
This 427-nucleotide transfer-messenger RNA is filed under the name Patescibacteria group. RNAcentral describes it as "JAFGTE01 sp016934215 Standard tmRNA". It matches the Rfam family "transfer-messenger RNA". Rfam says of the family: Bacterial tmRNA, also known as 10Sa RNA or SsrA, is named for its dual tRNA and mRNA-like properties. RNAcentral also lists the same sequence under 1 other name. The record is from RNAcentral.